CACUAUCACCAACAGACAGAAGUGGUGUUGCAAGCAGAGAACAGGGAAUAGAGAGAUUUGAGUAUCAUCAAUUAACAGUAAAGGGCUCCACGACGGAUCCUGACCCACUUGGCAAGGACUAGCCCUUUUUAAGUGUGGUGGGUUUGGAAAUGGAUAUUGAUAAUCCAAGGAGUACAUUUAACAAGUGUCCAGAUAGUCUUGGAAAUUUUGAGGAUGUGAAAUAAUCCUCUUUAUUUGAGCAGUUGUAAAGUAACAUGAUAUUGCUUGUGUCUUUUAGAAUUCAGAUAUUCCUAUACUCUUCAGUCUACAACGUGUUCUGCUCAUUCUUGGCCUUUUCUUCACUGGCCUCUUGCCCUUUGUGCCCAUUCGAGAACAGUUUUUUGAAAUCCCAAUGCCUUCUAUCAUACUGAAAACUUUAAAAGAUCAAGCUGAACGUUAGUGCAGCAGUCAUUAGGAAAUAUUGGUAAGAGAAACAAUUUGGUCAGUACCCUUGUAUUCAGCAUUUAUGUUUCACGCUUGUUUUCCAAUUUGAGUUUCUUCGUGAUGAGCAUGUUUAUUUUAUCUAUUCCCAAUUAUAUUUAUGGGCAGUCUUUGUAGCUGUUUCUCAGACAAAACAGAAAUCACUUCUUGACUACAAAGAAACCAUUUUCAUUUGCUGGAUUAAAGUGAUUCCUGACCAUUUCUUCCUAAAAAGUACUUAGGCUUCCUCUGGCUUGGCAUGGACUGUUGUCCUCUCUAGCUUAUCUCCAUGUGUUCCUUUUAGAAGCAGGUAUUACUGAAAUACAGACAAAUGAACAUAUGUCAUAGAAUUAAUCUUUUCUCUAAAAAGUAAUUGUGGAUUAAGACAAGGUAGUAUAUUCUGUGUGUGUGUUUUUUUUUUAAUGGAUGACAGUGGGUACUUCCUAA
Long non-coding RNA from Ailuropoda melanoleuca (giant panda), 906 nucleotides. RefSeq lists it as uncharacterized. The record is from RefSeq and is a predicted model, not a curated record. NCBI's taxonomy places the organism in Eukaryota, Metazoa, Chordata, Mammalia, Carnivora, Ursidae. The transcript is spliced from 2 exons.